RNAcentral lists this ribosomal RNA (478 nucleotides) under uncultured bacterium. RNAcentral's name for it is "partial 16S ribosomal RNA". It matches the Rfam family "Bacterial small subunit ribosomal RNA", at positions 28 to 523 of the family's 1533-position model. The record is from RNAcentral.
GACGAACGCUGGCGGCGUGCUUAACACAUGCAAGUCGAACGGUAAGGCCCUUCGGGGUACACGAGUGGCGAACGGGUGAGUAACACGUGGGUGAUCUGCCCUGCACUUCGGGAUAAGCCUGGGAAACUGGGUCUACUACCGGAUAGGACCACUGCCUGCAUGGGUGGUGGUGGAAAGCUUUUGCGGUGUGGGGUGGGCCCGCGGCCUAUCAGCUUGUUGGUGGGGUGAUGGCCUACCAAGGCGACGACGGGUAGCCGGCCUGAGAGGGUGACCGGCCACACUGGGACUGAGAUACGGCCCAGACUCCUACGGGAGGCAGCAGUGGGGAAUAUUGCACAAUGGGCGCAAGCCUGAUGCAGCGACGCCGCGUGAGGGAUGACGGCCUUCGGGUUGUAAACCUCUUUCAGCACCGACGAAGCGCAAGUGACGGUAGGUGCAGAAGAAGGACCGGCCAACUACGUGCCAGCAGCCGCUGUAA